UACAGAGGUCUCAAGCGUUGUUCGGAUUCAUUGGGCGUAAAGGGUGCGUAGGCGGCGCGGUAGGUCGGGUGUGAAAUCUUGGAGCUUAACUCCGAAACUGCAUUCGAUACUGCCGUGCUUGAGGACUGGAGAGGAGACUGGAAUUUACGGUGUAGCGGUGAAAUGCGUAGAUAUCGUAAGGAAGACCAGUGGCGAAGGCGAAUCUCUGGACAGUUACUGACACUGAGGCACGAAGGCCAGGGGAGCAAACGGG
RNAcentral lists this ribosomal RNA (253 nucleotides) under uncultured bacterium. RNAcentral's name for it is "partial 16S ribosomal RNA". It matches the Rfam family "Bacterial small subunit ribosomal RNA", at positions 524 to 776 of the family's 1533-position model. The record is from RNAcentral.